UGAGGAAUAUUGGUCAAUGGGCGAGAGCCUGAACCAGCCAAGUAGCGUGCAGGAUGACGGCCCUAUGGGUUGUAAACUGCUUUUAUGUGGGGAUAAAGUGCGUGACGUGUCAUGCAUUGCAGGUACCACAUGAAUAAGGACCGGCUAAUUCCGUGCCAGCAGCCGCGGUAAUACGGAAGGUCCGGGCGUUAUCCGGAUUUAUUGGGUUUAAAGGGAGCGUAGGCUGUCUAUUAAGCGUGUUGUGAAAUAUACCGGCUCAACCGGUGGCUUGCAGCUUGAACUGGUCGACUUGAGUAUGCAGGAAGUAGGCGGAAUUCAUGGUGUAGCGGUGAAAUGCUUAGAUAUCAUGACGAACUCCGAUUGCGCAGGCAGCUUACUGUAGCAUAACUGACGCUGAUGCUCGAAAGUGCGGGUAUCAAACAGG
RNAcentral lists this ribosomal RNA (424 nucleotides) under Fusobacteriota bacterium. RNAcentral's name for it is "Fusobacteria bacterium partial 16S ribosomal RNA". It matches the Rfam family "Bacterial small subunit ribosomal RNA", at positions 355 to 776 of the family's 1533-position model. The record is from RNAcentral. Lineage: Bacteria; Fusobacteriati; Fusobacteriota.